This 1404-nucleotide ribosomal RNA is filed under the name uncultured microorganism. RNAcentral describes it as "16S ribosomal RNA". It matches the Rfam family "Bacterial small subunit ribosomal RNA". The record is from RNAcentral.
GAGAAGUAAUUCACCUUUUGUUCUAGCGGCGGACGGGUGAGUAACGCGUGAGCAACCUGUCCUUGUCUGGGGGAUAAGGAGCCGAAAGGCUCUCUAAUACCGCAUGAGACCACGGGAUCACAUGGUUCUGAGGUCAAAGGAUUUCGGUCCGGACAGGGGUGGGCUCGCGUCUGAUUAGCUAGUUGGUUUGGUAAGGGCUCACUCAGGCAACGAUCAGUAGGCGACCUGAGAGGGUGAUCGGUCACAUUUGAACUGAGACACGGUUCCAACUCCUACGGGAGGCAGCAGUGGGGAUAUUGGGCAAUGGGCGAAGCCUGACCCAGCAACGCCGCGGAAGGAAGAAGGCUUUCGGGUCGUAACUUCUAUCCCAGAUGAAGAUAAUGACGGUAAUCUGGAAGGAAGCCCCGGCUAACUACGUGCCAGCAGCCGCGGUAAUACGUAGGGGGCAAGCGUUGUCCGGAAUGAUUGGGCGUAAAGGGCGCGUAGGCGGCCUUUUAAGUCCGAUGUGAAAGUCCUGCUUUUAAGGUGGGAAUUGCAUUGGAAACUGGAAGGCUUGAGUGCAGGAGAGGUAAGUGGAAUUCCCGGUGUAGCGGUGAAAUGCGUAGAGAUCGGGGGGAACACCAGUGGCGAAGGCGACUUACUGGACUGUAACUGACGCUGAGGCGCGAAAGUGUGGGGAGCAAACAGGAUUAGAUACCCUGGUAGUCCACACGGUAAACGAUGAGUGCUAGGUGUAGGAGGUAUCGACCCCUUCUGUGCCGGAGUCAACACAAUAAGCACUCCGCCUGGGGAGUACGGCCGCAAGGUUGAAACUCAAAGGAAUUGACGGGGCCCGCACAAGCAGCGGAGCAUGUUGUUUAAUUCGAAGCAACGCGAAGAACCUUACCAGGUCUUGACAUCCAGUAAAAACUGUAGAGAUACAGUGUGACUUCGGUCAUACUGAGACAGGUGGUGUAUGGUUGUCGUCAGCUCGUGUCGUGAGAUGUUGGGUUAAGUCCCGCAACGAGCGCAACCCUUGUGAUUAGUUACUAACGCGUAGAGGCGAGGACUCUAAUAAGACUGCCGGGACACUCGGAGAAGGUGGGGACGACGUCAAUCAUCAUGCCCCUUAUGACUGGUACUAACGUGCUACCAUUGCCACUACAGAGAGCUGCGAACUCGUAGGGUUAAGCGAAUCUCUUAAACGUGGUCCCAGUUCGGAUUGUGGGCUGCAACCCGCCCACAUGAAGUCGGAGUUGCUAGUAAUCGCGAAUCAGCAUGUCGCGGUGAAUACGUUCCCGGGCCUUGUACACACCGCCCGUCACACCAUGGGAGUUGAUAGCGCCCGAAGUCGGUGAGGCAACCGUAAGGAGUCAGCCGCCGAAGGUGAGAUCAAUGACUGGGGGAAGUCGUAACAAGGUAACC